RNAcentral lists this long non-coding RNA (8834 nucleotides) under Zostera marina. RNAcentral describes it as "long non-coding RNA (ZMAR_LNC003307)". Lineage: Eukaryota; Viridiplantae; Streptophyta; Magnoliopsida; Alismatales; Zosteraceae. The record is from RNAcentral.
UGGGAUCAUAGGUCUUAUCGUCUGUUCGAUUUAUUUUCAGAAAUCGAUCUUUCAAACGUUCGUUGUAGUUAAUAUAAACCAACUUAUGCAACCGAUCAACUUCCAAACGAUUUCUUCUUUUGGCGUGAAUCUGAUGAAAAAUAAAUAAUUUGAAAUUUCAUUUACAUCACAGAAGCAUACUUGAUUUUGUAUUCAAAGUCGCAAGUACUUACAAAAUCAAAAGUGCUCCAGUUUCUCUCACAACUAGAAGCUGUCGUAGUAAGAUUUAUGAUCCUCGUUGCCAACAACAUCAAUUCCGGAGUUGACACCCCAAAGUUAGACCACCAAUUUACUGAAAUCAAACAUAGUGAUUAGUGAGUGACACCCCUAACUGCCUAAGUAAGAUUUUUAUAAUUCAAUCUUAAAUUCUGAAAUCACUUACUAGGAUCCGUUGUUGGAAGCGUGUCGAUGGCUACCUUCAUUGAGAAGUCACCUGUUUUAUUCUUGUAACAAAUGAGUUGUUCCAUGAUUUGUGAAUGCUCUUCAAGAGGUGUCAUUCUUAGCAUACAAUCUCUGAAAUCUUUUUUGUAUCUUAGUGCCUUUAUAAGCCCUUCUCUAGAUCUAUUUCAAAAGUAAACAAUUAGUUUUUGAAAGUUGAAACCUUAAAAAAAAAAAGGUAAAAAACUUACCCCUCCUUCAAAUCGUAGUAAAAAUGGGGGUUUAGAAAUGCACCAGUUCCAAACAAAGGCUUCUGAAAAUGUUUGUCCCAACGCUUGGUGAAAAUCGCCUUUAGUUUAGUCAACAUCACCGGUUUACUUGCGAAGUGAGUUUCAAUUCUUUUUCUUGCAACUUCCAAACGAGGAAUGACCUCUGCCAUUAAUGGUUUACUAUCUUCAUCAACCAAUCUCAACAAAAUCACCAAUGGUUCAGAAGUUGUCAUACAAUCAUCUAAAUUUUUCCAAAAAAUACCGUUGAAGAAAUGACCAUGAAUCUGUUGUCCAAUCCCAACAUCAAUCCAUUUACGCCAAUCUAAUGCACUUAAGGCAUCUCGAUGUUUCUUAAUGCUCUGCAAGGUGAGAAAUGAUGUAGCAAAUCGAGUAACCCCAUAACGGACUAGCUCUCUAUUGUUGGACUUUUUCAAAAACUCGCAAUGUAUCACUGAAUGAUUGUAAAUGUAGUUUGCAUAGUUUAAAAAGCGACGCUUAAAGUGUUGCUUUUUUAGCUUUAAGCGGGAAAGCGCUCCUCUAGGAGCAGGAGCGCUUUCCCAAUCGCUUUAUCUGGUCGGGUUAUGGGGUCGGGUCGGGUUACUGGGUUGGGUCAAACCAUUACUUAUGUGAAAUAACUUAAACUAUUUUAAUUUCCCUUCCUACCCCUCCAAUUUCUAUCUAACUAUAUAAACCCAAUACCCUUCUAAUAAAACCCUAAUUUCCUUUAUCACUCUCACUUUUAUUUCUUCUAAAACCCUAGAGCCGUCGGCAGACCUUGCCGAAGCCGUACCUGACCUCGCCGGAGUCGCCGCCUGACCUAGUUUUUCUCCUCCGAUCUUCACGUCUACUAGUGGUAUGAAUGUCUUCAACUUUUCCAUCAAUUUCUUUACUUGUAGACCGUCUGAAAAAGGGAUAAAAAGAUGGCCGGAAUCCGGGCUGUUUUGGCCGGAUUCCGCCCAUCCUCGAAUUUUUUUAUUAUUUUUAUUUUUAAUCUCAUGCCCUGUAGGAACAUGUAGUUGGAUUUCAGACCAUUUUUAAAUAGGUUUGCCGGAUUCCAGUCAAAACAGGUCGGAAUCCGGCCAACCAAUUUUUUUUUUAAUUUUUUUUUGACAGGCCGAUGAUGUCCGACGACGAGCACGUCGUCGCAGAAUGCGAUCUUAAUUAUACCAGCAGCGACGACGACGCUACGCAAUGUGCUUCGGAAGAAGAAAUACCGACGACGCCGCCUCCUCCACCACCUUCAGCAGUAGCUGAUCCUCCGGCCGUGGAUGAGCAAGCAUUAGUAUACCACCAUUCCAUUGAUCCGGAAUGGUUGACAGACAAAGCAAGACGACCGUCUAGUACAGAUCCCGGAUGGAAGUAUGGGAUCCUUGAUGACCCAACGAAAAAUAAGUAUGCAACAAAAUGCUUAUUUUGCGGUCUAGUCUACAACGGAGGAGUGGCAAGGUUGAAGACGCAUUUGAUCGGCGUGUCAAAUGCGAAAAGAACGUCACGAAAUGUCUGAAGGUUCCAUACCAUGUGUUUCGAGAGUUAGUCGAGCAUAUGAACUCGAAGAAGCCAAUGACACCAAUUAUUGACGUUGAUCUGCCUACGAAAGAAUCGAAGAAAAGAAAGAUAUCAAGUGUAGUGGAAUCCACAUCCACCGCGGGUUCGGUAAAGGUAUACAGAUCGUUGGGUUUAGAAAAAAGACAAACUAUUGAAAACAUCGUUCGUGAACGACGAACCAAAAAAAAAACAAACUGUAAUGGAGGAUCAUUUGAAGAAACAAGAAAGGGAAGACGUACACGAUUACGUCGCCAAAUUCUUCUACGAGAACUCAAUUGCAUUCAAUGUGGUGCUUAGUCAAUCAUUUGAUGUAAUAAAAUUAUCGUUCUCCAUUCCCUUCAAUAAUCAAUACAAUUACAAUUGUUUUAUUUAAUUGUAGUGUAUGGCUGAAGCGAUUGGAAGGUAUGGUAGAAACUAUAGAGGACCAACUCCUUAUGGUCUUUCAACGUCUUUACUGAACAAAGAAAAGAAGUCUAUAGAUUCCAUUAGAAAGAAACAUGAGGAAGUUUGGCUUGAAAGUGGUUGUACCCUAAUGUCCGAUGGAUGGACGGAUCGUCGAAGGAGAAAUAUUAUCAACUUUUUGGUAAAUUCUGUUGCGGGAACCUUCUACUUGCAUUCAAUCGACGCAUCUAGCCAAGAUAAAACGACUGAGUUUAUUGCAGACGGUCUAGAGAAUGCAAUGAAAAUAAUUGGACCUCAGCACGUCGUGCAGGUACAUAAUUAUUGAAUUCAUCUCCAUCUUUCAUUUCUUUAAUUUGAAACAAUUUGAAAUUUUCAGAUUUGCACGGAUAACGCUUCAAACUAUGUUCGUGCGGGAAAACUUUUAAUGGAGAAAUACGAUCAUCUAUUUUGGACACCGUGUGCCGCACAUGUCAUGGAUCUUAUUCUUGAGGACAUAGGAAAGAUACCGCAAUACAAGAUUUGUAUCAGAAAUGCUGUGAAAAUCACUAAUCACGUGUACAACCAUGCAACCCUUUACAGCAAAUGGUUAGAGGCUACGAAAGGAAAAGAAUUGGGUAGGCCGGGGGUCACUAGAUUUGCCACCUCGUACCUUACAUUGAAGAGCUUGCACGAACAAUGUGAAGUUCUGAGGACAUUUAAUUGGCGUCCGUGGGUGGGGAAAGGAGAUGGUCUACAUGUUGCAGAUUUAGUUGUCAAGACUCGCUUCUGGAUGACUGUAGAAGAUUGUUUAAAAGCUUCUGAACCAAUACUUGUGGUUUUGAGAAUGGUAGACAGUGACUUGAAACCUAAUUUGUCAUCUCUAGCGGCCGCAUUUCUAAAGGCAAAGGAUGCAAUAAAGGCAAACUUUCAGAACAUUGAACGUGACUAUUUGCCAAUUUUUAAAAUAUUAAAAACUCGUUGGGCCAAGCACUUUCAGUCUUCAUUAUUCAAAGCAGCAACAUUCCUCAAUCCAGGAGUUUACUACAAGAUAAGAAGGUAAUGAAAUUUUCAUUCAUUAGCGAUAGUUAUGAGUUACCUAUCAAUAAAUUCAUUCUCUAUCGAUUGUAGUUCUUGCUCUGCUGAAGACAUUGCGUCGUACGAUGAAGCUUUUCAAGAUUGCAUGCAGAAGAUGAUCGUUGACGAUGAAGUCAGAAUGAAGGUUAUUAAUGAUAGUCGCUUGUACAAGAGUAAAGGUGGAAGAUUUGGUUUGACAACUGCUCAAUUGGGAGUUGACACCUGCGAACCAAGUAACCAAUCGAAAACUUUUAUCUUUUGUUUGACAAUUACUCAUUUUUGACAAGUGACGAUUUUCUUUGCAGUAUUUUGGUGGGAUGCUUAUGGAACUUCCACCAUACAAUUACAAAAAUAUGCAAUGCGAAUCUUGGCUUUGUGUGCCUCUACUUCAAGUUGUGAGAGAAAUUGGAGCUUAUUUGAACAUGUAAGACCUCACUUGUCAUUUGAACAAGUUAUUAGAUCAUUACCCAAACCCUAACUUACCAUUUACAGAUACAUUCGAGGAAAAGGAAUCAAUUGAAUACAAAAAAAUUGGAUCUUUUGGUGUACAUAACGUACAACCGAAAAUUAAAUGAUCGUAUUGAACGACACCGACUCGUGGAAUUGGAAACAUCUAUCAAGUACGAUCUAAUAAGAGUCGAUACAAUAAACUUCAAUAUUGAGUGGCUGACAGGCAUCGAAGGGGCAUGCGACGAGUUCGUCUACACUGAGGCAGAUGGACUAACAUGGGCGCAAGUGGAGGAAGCUUCAGGUGCUGCUGAACAACCGGGACCGUCUACAAGGAGUGGGCAAACCCGUGGAUAUUCAUAUCAGAAACAGAGAACUGCAUUAAGAGAUAUGGGAACUGAAUCCCAAUUUCAUCAUUGCAUGAAUGAAAUGGAAGAAUUUUUUAGAGAUAAUAUAGAUAUUGGUGCUCGUCUAGAUGAUUAGGUUAUAUGACUUGUAAAUGUUUUUCAAAUAAUUUGGAUGAUGUCUUGAAUAAUUACAGGUUUAUAUAUAUUUUAUGUUUUAUCAUAUGUUUACAGGUUAAAAAAAAAAGUAUAUAAACAUGGGUAUAUAUGCAAUUUUUAAAAAAAAUUACAUUUAUUUACAAAAAUGCCAUUAUCGUUUUUUCAGCUUUAAGCGCGCUAAAGCGCUCAAAGCUGAAAAAGCGCUCAAUGGAAAAGUUGAGCGCUUUAUAGCUUUUUGAACAAUGGUAGUUUGUGAUCUUACGACCCAUCACAAUAGCAUUUUUCAGAGAGCUAAUCUUUUCAAUGUCUUCUAACAUCAAAUCAAUACAGUGGGCGACACAAGGGGUCCAAUACAAAUGAUCAUAUUUCUCCAUUAGUUUCUCCCCAGCUUUAACGUAGUUGCUCGCAUUAUCUGUACAAAUUUGAACAUUUUUGACUCCUAUCCUUUGCAUCGCUUUAUCUAAGGUAGAUGCAAUGUAAUCGGCAGUUUUCGUUUCGGCUGAAGCGUCAAUAGAGUAUAAAUAAAAUGAAUCCUUGCUUGAAUUCACUAUAAAGUUGAUAAUUGAUCUUCCCCUCUUAUCCGUCCAGCCAUCAGACAUGAGUGAACAACCAGAUAGACGCCAACAUUUUUCAUGGUCUUUCUUCAUUUCAUCAAUUUCUGUAACCACACCUUCUAGAAGAGAGCCGCGUAAUCUACUGAUAGUUGGAGGUGUAUAACCCCAUCCAUACCUUCCAACAGCUUCCAACAUAACGUGGAAAUCGAAACAAUCUCGUACAUUGAAAGGGAUGCCGACGUUGUAGAAGAAUUUCGCCACACAGAUAUCAACAAUAAGCCUUUCCUCUUUUUUCAACUGCUCAACAAUUAGUGGUUGUUUUGCUCCCAUUCUAGAUCUCACAAUGUCACUUAAUUUCUGUCUUUCUUUCAAAGACAAUGCACCUACGGCCGCGUUGAUCGAACGGUUCGAACCUGAUGAUGAACCUAAUGACGGCUUCACAAUAGUUGACNNNNNNNNNNNNNNNNNNNNNNNNNNNNNNNNNNNNNNNNNNNNNNNNNNNNNNNNNNNNNNNNNNNNNNNNNNNNNNNNNNNNNNNNNNNNNNNNNNNNNNNNNNNNNNNNNNNNNNNNNNNNNNNNNNNNNNNNNNNNNNNNNNNNNNNNNNNNNNNNNNNNNNNNNNNNNNNNNNNNNNNNNNNNNNNNNNNNNNNNNNNNNNNNNNNNNNNNNNNNNNNNNNNNNNNNNNNNNNNNNNNNNNNNNNNNNNNNNNNNNNNNNNNNNNNNNNNNNNNNNNNNNNNNNNNNNNNNNNNNNNNNNNNNNNNNNNNNNNNNNNNNNNNNNNNNNNNNNNNNNNNNNNNNNNNNNNNNNNNNNNNNNNNNNNNNNNNNNNNNNNNNNNNNNNNNNNNNNNNNNNNNNNNNNNNNNNNNNNNNNNNNNNNNNNNNNNNNNNNNUCUUCUUCAUGAUCCAUGGUUUGAAUUUGUUCUUAACUCUGAAAUUUAAGAAAACAAAUUCAGAUAUUAAUAUGUGAAAUUUAAGAAAAAAAAUUCAGAUGUUAGCUCCCGAUUUAAUUUAACACUCCACCGACUGGAACACUCUGAAUUCCAGAUUUAAUUCCAGAUCAAAUACCUAACUCUGAAAAUUCGCCCACUCCACUCUGAAAUACCUAACUUUGUGUAUUAAAGAGAGAAACUGGUAAUGAGGUAAUCUAUAACCAGUAAUCAAUCACCAACAAGCAACAACAUCUGUGCUCUCUCAAUCGAUCUGUCUAUUCUAAAUCCAAUGAAAUGAGCACACACCAAUCUUUUCCUUUCUCAAUUCGAUGAGCUCAUAGCUAUUUUAAUUUUCAGACUGGAACUACUAGAGAAUUUUAAUUGCUAUCAGCCAGUACCUCACAAGUGACAGGUAUACUUGUAAUACUUGAAAUAGCUAUGAGCUAUUUCUGGAAAUACUUGAUAUCGCAGAAGUUGAAAUCGCAGAGCAGCGGCCAGGAAAAACUCACGGCCAGGAAACGCGAUUUCUGAAAAUCGCGGAAGCAGCGGCGAUCCUUCGUGAUAGGCGAUCCUUUUUCCUUCGUCGAUCGUCGAUUAGGAUUUUCAGUAGUUUUUUUGUUACUCGUCGAUAGUCGAUUAGGAUCGUCGUUGUAAACUGAUUUAGGAUUUAGGGUUUUUUUUUCAGUAUUUUCUUAUUAGUUUUUAGAUUUAGAAAUAUUUUUUAUUUAAUUAGGUAUUUUUUAUAAGGUCUUUAAGUUGUAAAAAAAUAAUAUAAUUCAUUUAAUUAUUUCAAUUUUAAUAUUUUGUACUUGGGUAAAUGGAUCGGGUUUAGCCGGAUCCGACCCGGAUCCGGCUAAGCCACAUAAUAUGUGACCCCUCAAAUAUGCGAUGGGGGCUUAGCGCCUGGUCGCAUAUGCGCUCGCAUACGCAUAUGCGACAAAUCAAAAACCUUGUGUCUAACAACCGUUAUCUCAUUGUAAUAAUGUAUAUAUAAGGAACGUGAAUGAAUGAGAAUAAUGCAAUCUGUUUUUAUAUAAUCCUCACGAUAUAUAAUAAUAGUGUACAUAGAUAAGAAUAUCGUGUGGUCACCUGGCCGCAUAGAAAACCUUUCUCUUAUCAAUAUAUCUGGUCAAGAAUCAAGAUUUACUUUAAUUUUUAGUUACCUCUGCACAUUAAUCUUUGCACUACUACUCUCUAUAUGGUAUAACUUCAAAGUGCAAAGUGAAUAAGUCCACUGGCAUGCUCUUAUUUACUGCCUCUAACUCUCUUAAAUUUUUCGUCACAUUUUAUUUUGCAAAUUGUUUAUUUUAGCCCCAUAUCCCAAUGCUGCCUAGGUAAAAAUGAAAGCAUAACUAGGCACCAAUUAUUUCAACCGAUUAAGCAUAAUUCUCCUGAAAUACUCUAACUCUAAUUUUAAUCAUCCUCUUUAUCAAAAAUAAUAAUUUUAAUCAUCCAAUUUAUUAUAAAACAUAAUGAAUAUUUUUGCAGAAAUUUGUACCGAAAUCCCAUUCUUUCCUGUUUGUGCCAAAAGUACCAACCAAAGCUAAAAAAUAGCUAAUUUAACUAGCCAGUUUUGGCCAACUACAUAUAAAUACAUAUGAAUUAAAUCCUGUUUUAUAUUCAUAUAUCAUAUAAAAGUUAUAAAACUGUGGAUAGAGGAAGGUGGAGAAGAGGAAGUUAGGUCACUGGAAGGUUCAUUCCUUAAUGUCAAUGGAAGGAGACAAGUUGAUCGAUGGAGAAGGAGAAGGAGAGAGAAGAGAAAAAUAAAAUAGGGGUGGUGCUGUAGUGGAAACUAGGGUUUUCUAAAUUAGAUGAAUGGAAUUAGAAUUAUCAGUUACAGAAAAUAACAAUUCAGUUGUUUGACCACACUAGUGUCAACAUCAGAUGCAUCUAUUGCAGAAAACAAUAAUCCUGUGUUUUUGUUGGACAUGGUAGUGUUUUUUCUUUAGCACAUAUUAUUCCAAAUUUUCUUCCCAUGUUAUUUUGUUAUUUUUUUAGCACAUUGUAGACUUGUAGUGUUUCAUUUGACGUUUAUGUUUGCUAAACUUCUUCAACAGUUGAGAUUGUUUAUAUUUUAUCGUGUUUUGUUCAUGAAAGUACUUCAAAAUAGCUUUGACAGUUCUUUAUAAUAUGAUCAGAACAAAGGGACAGAAAUUGAAGCUGGAGCAACUCCUUAGGAACUCAAACGGUUACAAAAAAGCUAAGUUGGUGAAAUCUCAAACCCCUUCGGAAGAAAUUUGAAAUUUUAGAUUUUGUAUCAGAUUUAGACGAAAGGCAAUUCUAAUUUGAAACCACAUCAAAAUCUAAGCUUCCAUAGGUUUGUAGUUUGAACCAUUUUGGUGAAAUGAUUUUCAUUGUAUCAAUAAUGAUGUUUUGAUAUAUCUAUGAUUUUGACUAGAAUCUCAUUAAUAUUCUAUGAUUAUUUCUGCAUAGACGUAUUUUUUAUUCAAAGUUGUACUCUAACAAAUUCCCUUUGCUGGGUUGCUACUUGUUAGAUAGUUAUUUUGAUAUCUCAUCUGAAACUAGUUUAGUUUUAAUAUUUUAUCUUUUAAUUACAUUUACAUUUUACAGUUAAUUUUCCAAAGAAGCAUUGAAAUAUAGAAUGCCAUCAAAUAAACAUCAAGAAGUUUUUGAUCCUCGAUUUCUAAACUUCAGUUGGUUGUAACUUGUAAGCUAAGAUUGGAGAAUGAGAGAAAUAGGUUUGUGAAAUUGUG